RNAcentral lists this ribosomal RNA (278 nucleotides) under Glomeromycota sp. RNAcentral's name for it is "partial small subunit ribosomal RNA". It matches the Rfam family "Eukaryotic small subunit ribosomal RNA", at positions 569 to 849 of the family's 1831-position model. Lineage: Eukaryota; Fungi; Glomeromycota. The record is from RNAcentral.
AGCAGCCGCGGUAAUUCCAGCUCCAAUAGCGUAUAUUAAAGUUGUUGCAGUUAAAAAGCUCGUAGUUGAAUUUCGGGGUCUGUCCAUUGGUCGGGCUUUACGGUCCGUACUGGUGAGAUGGGUUCCUACCUUCUGAAUAACCAGCAUGCCAUUUAGUUGGUGCGUUGGGGAAGCAGAGCUAUUACCUUGAAAAAAUUAGAGUGCUUAAAGCAGGCUAGUGCUUGAAUAGAUUAGCAUGGAAUAAUAAAAUAGGACGGCAUGGUUCUAUUUUGUUGGUU